This 215-nucleotide long non-coding RNA is filed under the name Populus trichocarpa (black cottonwood). RNAcentral's name for it is "long non-coding RNA (PTRI_LNC004823)". The record is from RNAcentral. Lineage: Eukaryota; Viridiplantae; Streptophyta; Magnoliopsida; Malpighiales; Salicaceae.
GCAAUUAUGGCUUGUAGGUACAAUCUCUUUCUGCCUUUUUCUUCGCUGAGAAUUGCAGUCUCAUAUUUUCUCUGUAACUUUCGUCCUUGGUUUUUCUCUGUCCUUCUGUUUAUCUAGUUUUUACUUUUGUUCAAUUGCCUUUUGCAUUUAUUAUUGCAUUUCAAGGCAGAGCCGGUAUGAGGUGAAUAUGUCCCCUUUUUAUUUUGUAUUUAAGG